UGGGGAAUAUUGCGCAAUGGGCGAAAGCCUGACCCAGCAACGCCGCGUGAAGGAUGAAGUAUUUCGGUAUGUAAACUUCGUAAGAAUAGGAAGAAUAAAUGACGGUACUAUUUGUAAGGUCCGGCUAACUACGUGCCAGCAGCCGCGGUAAUACGUAGGGACCAAGCGUUGUUCGGAUUUACUGGGCGUAAAGGGCGCGUAGGCGGUUUGUCAAGUCAGUUGUGAAAUCUCCGGGCUUAACUCGGAGCGGCCAAGUGAUACUGUUAGGCUAGAGUGCAGAAAGGGCAAUCGGAAUUCUUGGUGUAGCGGUGAAAUGCGUAGAUAUCAAGAGGAACACCUGAGGCGAAGGCGGGUUGCUAGGCUGACACUGACGCUGAGGCGCGAAAGCUAGGGUAGCAAACGGGAUUAGAUACCCUCGUAGUCCCUGAGCGGGCUGGCAAGGCGCAU
Molecule: ribosomal RNA, 447 nt
Filed under: uncultured bacterium
Lineage: Bacteria
Description: bacterial SSU rRNA
Rfam family: Bacterial small subunit ribosomal RNA
Source: RNAcentral